Molecule: ribosomal RNA, 934 nt
Filed under: uncultured bacterium
Lineage: Bacteria
Description: bacterial SSU rRNA
Rfam family: Bacterial small subunit ribosomal RNA
Source: RNAcentral
AGAGUUUGAUCAUGGCUCAGAGCGAACGCUGGCGGCGUACCUAACACAUGCAAGUCGAACGGGGAUCACAGGGUUAGCAAUAACUCCGUGGUUCUAGUGGCGCACGGGUGAGUAACACGUGGGUAACCUGCCCUUGAGACUGGGAUACCCCCUCGAAAGGGGGGCUAAUACCGGAUACGUUCCUCGGAUCGAAAGGUCUGAGGAGGAAAGGUGGCGAAAGCUGCCGCUCUUGGAGGGGCUCGCGGCCUAUCAGCUAGUUGGCGGGGUAACGGCCCACCAAGGCUAUGACGGGUAGCUGGUCUGAGAGGACGACCAGCCACACGGGGACUGAGACACGGCCCCGACUCCUACGGGAGGCAGCAGUGGGGAAUUUUCCGCAAUGGGCGAAAGCCUGACGGAGUGACGCCGCGUGUGGGACGAAGGCCUUCGGGUCGUAAACCACUGUCAGUGGGAAAGAUGGGUGUCGGCGCGAUAACCGCCGGCAUUUGACGGUACCUGCAGAGGAAGCCCCGGCUAACUCUGUGCCAGCAGCCGCGGUAAGACAGAGGGGGCAAGCGUUGCUCGGAAUUACUGGGCGUAAAGGGCGCGUAGGCGGGAUGGCAAGUCGGUCGUGAAAUCCCUCGGCUCAACUGAGGAUCGUCGAUCGAUACUGCCGUUCUUGAGGAUUGCAGAGGAGACUGGAAUUCCCGGUGUAGCGGUGAAAUGUGUAGAGAUCGGGAGGAACACCGGUGGCGAAGGCGGGUCUCUGGGCAAUUCCUGACGCUGAGGCGCGAAAGCGUGGGGAGCAAACGGGAUUAGAUACCCCGGUAGUCCACGCUGUAAACGAUGACGACUAGGUGUGGGGGGUUCAGUCCCUUCCGUGCCGCAGCUAACGCAUUAAGUCGUCCGCCUGGGGGAGUACGGCCGCAAGGUUGAAACUCAAAGGAAUUGACGG